This 444-nucleotide ribosomal RNA is filed under the name uncultured bacterium. RNAcentral's name for it is "bacterial SSU rRNA". It matches the Rfam family "Bacterial small subunit ribosomal RNA", at positions 331 to 792 of the family's 1533-position model. The record is from RNAcentral.
CCAGACUCCUACGGGAGGCAGCAGUGGGGAAUAUUGCACAAUGGGGGAAACCCUGAUGCAGCAACGCCGCGUGAGUGAAGAAGUAUUUCGGUAUGUAAAGCUCUAUCAGCAGGGAAGAGAAUGACGGUACCUGACUAAGAAGCCCCGGCUAACUACGUGCCAGCAGCCGCGGUAAUACGUAGGGGGCGAGCGUUAUCCGGAUUUACUGGGUGUAAAGGGAGCGUAGACGGUUCUGCAAGUCUGAAGUGAAAGCCCGGGGCUUAACCGCGGAACGGCUUUGGAAACUGUGGAACUGGAGUGCUGGAGAGGCAAGCGGAAUUCCUAGUGUAGCGGUGAAAUGCGUAGAUAUUAGGAGGAACACCAGUGGCGAAGGCGGCUUGCUGGACAGUAACUGACGUUGAGGCUCGAAAGCGUGGGGAGCAAACAGGAUUAGAUACCCCAGUA